This 234-nucleotide ribosomal RNA is filed under the name uncultured bacterium. RNAcentral describes it as "partial 16S ribosomal RNA". It matches the Rfam family "Bacterial small subunit ribosomal RNA", at positions 118 to 347 of the family's 1533-position model. The record is from RNAcentral.
UGAGGAACAUGACCUUCGGCGGGGGAUAGCCGGCCCAACGGCCGGGUAAUACCGCGUACGACCACAUGGGGACAUCCCUGAGUGGUGAAAGCAGCAAUGCGCCGAUGGAGUGCCUCGCGGCCUAUCAGCUAGUUGGUGAGGUAACGCUCACCAAGGCGACGACGGGUAGCUGGUCUGAGAGGAUGGCCAGCCACAGUUGGGACUGAGACACGGCCCAGACCUCGUACGGGGAGG